CCUACGGGUGGCAGCAGUGAGGAAUAUUUGUCAAUGGACGCAAGUCUGAACCAGCCAUGCCGCGUGCAGGAAGACGGCUCUAUGAGUUGUAAACUGCUUUUGUACGAGGGUAAACGCAGAUACGUGUAUCUUUCUGAAAGUAUCGUACGAAUAAGGAUCGGCUAACUCCGUGCUAGCAGCCGCGGUAAUACGGAGGAUGCAAGCGUUAACCGGAUUUAUUGGGUUUAAAGGGUUCGUAGGCGGUCGGAUAAGUUAGAGUUGAAAUCCCGAGGAUCAACUUCGGAAUUGUCUCUGAUACUGUUCAGCUAGAGAGUAGUUGCGGUAGCCGGAAUGUAUGGUGUAGCGGUGAAAUGCUUAGAGAUCAUACAGAACACCGAUUGCGAAAGCAGCCUACCAAGCUACUUCUGACGUUGAGGCACGAAAGCGUGGGGAGCAAACAGGAUUAGAUACCCGUGUAGUC
This 460-nucleotide ribosomal RNA is filed under the name uncultured bacterium. RNAcentral's name for it is "partial 16S ribosomal RNA". It matches the Rfam family "Bacterial small subunit ribosomal RNA", at positions 338 to 795 of the family's 1533-position model. The record is from RNAcentral.